RNAcentral lists this long non-coding RNA (269 nucleotides) under Nicotiana benthamiana. Its description in RNAcentral is "long non-coding RNA (NBEN_LNC001492)". Lineage: Eukaryota; Viridiplantae; Streptophyta; Magnoliopsida; Solanales; Solanaceae. The record is from RNAcentral.
UUUUAAUUCUAUUGAGUGGGGUUUUAUUUUAUCUGCUAACCUCAAGUUGGUGAAACACGUAUGUUGAUGCAUCUAGUCUAGCAUGGACUCACUCAUCAGGAUUGGGCAUGAGCGGAUUCACACUGAAUAAAAAUACGUAAAUGAAACAACUGAUACUAAUAUAUAAUCUUAGUUUUCAACAUUUUGGGAAUUAGCUGAUGAAUUAAUUGUUGUUGUUCUUGCUACCUUUAGUAGUUAUUAUAUCUGUCAUGCUUCGUGGAUUAUUUAUA